UGGGGAAUAUUGGACAAUGGGCGAAAGCCUGAUCCAGCCAUGCCGCGUGUGUGAAGAAGGCCUUUUGGUUGUAAAGCACUUUAAGCGAGGAGGAGGCUACUAGUACUAAUACUACUGGAUAGUGGACGUUACUCGCAGAAUAAGCACCGGCUAACUCUGUGCCAGCAGCCGCGGUAAUACAGAGGGUGCGAGCGUUAAGCGGAUUUACUGGGCGUAAAGCGUGCGUAGGCGGCUGAUUAAGUCGGAUGUGAAAUCCCUGAGCUUAACUUAGGAAUUGCAUUCGAUACUGGUCAGCUAGAGUAUGGGAGAGGAUGGUAGAAUUCCAGGUGUAGCGGUGAAAUGCGUAGAGAUCUGGAGGAAUACCGAUGGCGAAGGCAGCCAUCUGGCCUAACACUGACGCUGAGGUGCGAAAGCAUGGGGAGCAAACAGG
This 430-nucleotide ribosomal RNA is filed under the name Pseudomonadota bacterium. RNAcentral describes it as "Proteobacteria bacterium partial 16S ribosomal RNA". It matches the Rfam family "Bacterial small subunit ribosomal RNA", at positions 355 to 776 of the family's 1533-position model. Lineage: Bacteria; Pseudomonadati; Pseudomonadota. The record is from RNAcentral.